AACUGCGAUACCUAGUGUGAAUUGCAGAAUUCAGUGAAUCAUCGAGUCUUGAACGCAAAUGGCGCUCUCGUUCACCGGAGCACGUCUGUCUGAGCAUUCUGU
This 102-nucleotide ribosomal RNA is filed under the name Cliona varians. RNAcentral describes it as "partial 5.8S ribosomal RNA". It matches the Rfam family "5.8S ribosomal RNA", at positions 51 to 154 of the family's 154-position model. From Rfam's summary of the family: 5.8S ribosomal RNA (5.8S rRNA) is a component of the large subunit of the eukaryotic ribosome. It is transcribed by RNA polymerase I as part of the 45S precursor that also contains 18S and 28S rRNA. The record is from RNAcentral. Lineage: Eukaryota; Metazoa; Porifera; Demospongiae; Clionaida; Clionaidae.